Molecule: non-coding RNA, 3661 nt
Organism: Punica granatum (pomegranate)
Lineage: Eukaryota; Viridiplantae; Streptophyta; Magnoliopsida; Myrtales; Lythraceae
Source: RefSeq, a predicted model, not a curated record
AAAGUGGGUCUCUUUUGUUGAUUGUGGGUCGUUUCACGGGAUUUUUGUCCCGUGUUUGUCGGGGAUGAUACGUGGUGUGUCUGUGCUUGUCGGCCUGAUUUCUUGCUCAAUACGGGGAUUUGAUGGGGAAUCUGAAUUUGGGGUAAUUAGAGAAUUUACGGGACAAUAUCCCCUCUGGGUCCUCGUGCUGAUGAUCUUGAGCCUCACGGCUAAAUUUGAGGAAGCUAUCUUUUUGGCGAUGGUGCACAGCUAAAUAUAGCACCCACCGGCACCAUCUAAAUGCAUUUCCCUUCCUCGUUCUCUCUCUCUCUCUCUCUCUCUCUCUCUCUCUCUCUCUCUGACAUUCUUAAAGUUAGUCAACAGUUUUUCUUUGGGUCAAAUGGAGCGUAAGGAGAGAAUUUAGCAAGCAGGAGAUCUGUGUGUGUCCACAGAGGUGGAGAUAUUGAUUGAGUGUAUAACUGUGUCUUUUAAAAUCGACGCCUCCGAAGACAAUUGCUACCAUAGUUUGUACUACAGAAGUACAAACUCUCAUCAGUGAACUACUUCUCUCCUUUUGUGACAUUUCGGAGAUUUCAGAAAGAGGAAAGGCUUCAUUGCCCCUGAAAUCUUUAGAACAGCAGAACACCGCAACCUCAGAGGAUUGUUCGGGGUCUCCAGUCAUUUGGCAUAACAGGUGUGCCCUUCUGACUUUCCUUACUCUCGAGUCUGAUGGAAACUGGAAAAUUCUUGCUGUACCAGUGCAAUGUCCGGAUAACACAAAUCCUCUAACUCGUCACUCUCGGGUGAAUUCCUGGAUUUCAUGAUGGAUCCAAAUGGCAGCCAACUGACAGACCUUGUUUUAUAUUCAUCAGUACACAGGCCGAAGCUCUAGUGGGUCCCGUGUACACAGGCCGAAGUCAACCUCGUAAUAGGGCAAUCCCUGAUUCUAGUGUGCCUCCUGACAGCAAGGCAGAUGGAACAAUAAGGACAUGUACCAGCAAGAAAGCAAGAAAAAAGGGGGAAACAGGGGGAGAAACUUCCCUUGAAUGGCGGGUCAGCUGAAAUUUCACCGUUAUCUUCCCAUCAAGGAGAUCUUCAAGGCAACCUUAAUAGUGGCAGGGACACAUCAGAAGCUAUUAUUGCGUCUUCUGAUCAAAUUGUUCCUGAAAAGUUUCCUGUUUCUGAUCCUGAGAAUCCGCUCAAAACUAAGGAAUCACGACGCCCAGGCAGUCCAAGUUCGAAUGGCUCCUCAGAGUUGGAUAUAGCUUUGGUCAGUUCAGUGAAUUCAAAUCCUUGCCAAACGGUAUUGAAUGAUGUGAUUGAUUUAGCCGAUCAACACGAGGAAACAGCGAGGAGUAAUAAUAAGAAUGUUGCCAAGAAAAACAACCGAGUCAGAACAGUUGUCAACAUUCCAAGUGCCUCUAGAUCGGGCAGCUUUGGGAAUUCACGUUUCCAUAAUACAGGCAAGGAAAAAGUCAUCCUGUGUGGCAGAAGGUUCAGAGGAAAGUUGGGAGCCAACGCGAUUCGUCAAAGGUAAAUCACAAUUAUGUGGAGACAAAUGAAGCACCUAGAGAUGAAUAUAAGAAGCAUAGACCAGCUAAGGAUUCAGGGAAGGGAAAGAGGAAGCACUGUCCAAAUUCCAAACAGGAGAGCAACCGCUAUACGAGGAAGGGGUCUUCUAUUGACAAGUCUGAGCUCAGAAGCUCGAACAAGUCUGCUCACUCAAACAUUUCAAGUGUUUCAGAAGUCGCCUCUCCAAGUGGUAGUCGCAGGGAUCAGCUGAGGACUGGUGAAGCUGAGUGCUUGAAUCCUGAAGCAGUUGAAGAUUCCUGUGUUUGCCAUGAUGGUUUGCAGCUCAAUGGAGACAACGGUAGUUCUACUGCAAACUCAGACUUAUAACGCAUGGAAGACUUGGACAGCUCACUAGGAGAAUCUCGGGUGGAUCAGAACAUUAUGAUUUCUCCUGUAUGCACUCCUCACCUUCUAGCUAAUGGAGUCGACCAAUCAGGUAAAGAAGAUGUCCUCUCUGAGUCUUGCGGGCAAAAGAGCACUGCUGGGUCUGUUACACGGAAAUGGGUACCCGUCGGGACAAAAGCUCUAGCUGCAACUGGCCUAACUGGUAAAUCAUGCAUCUCUGUUGAGAAUGGUCAGGCGGAAGCUCGUCAAGAACAAACUCCUGAUGUAGAUUCCGAAAGUACUAUUACUUUAUCAAUCUCUGAAGUUGAAAAUAACUGUUCUCCUUCUGAGGAGGAAGGACAAACUGAAUCAACAGAGAAUAGCAAUUCUGGUGUACCUGAGGAGCAGAAUCACAGAGUAGCCUCUGAUAGUUCCGUGAUUAGUGAAUUUAAAAGUCAGUUUGAAACUGAUUUAGACAGGCUAGCGAGGGCAAUAGGUAAUGCCCACAGAGCACAAUUAGCGUCAGAAGCUGUUCACAUGGCGACUGGUGGUCCCAUUGCCGAGUUCGAAAGACUUCUUCAUUUAUCUUCUCCAGUGGUUUCUCUCUCACAUUCUAUCGCAACUAAGAUGUGCUCGAGGAACCAUUUGACUUCGACCAUGGGCAUACAUGAGACACCUGAUAUCCCUUUGGGAUGCCUGUGGCAGUGGUACUAGAAGCAUGGAAGCUUUGGUCUGGAAGUUCGGGGGAAGGAUUAUAACAACUCAAAGAGAUUAGGAAUUGAUCGGUUCUCAUUCAGGGCUUACUUUGUUCCAUAUUUAUCAUCGGUUCAGCUGUUCAGAGGUGGUAAGUGGCAGAUGAGGAAGAGUUCAUUGGUGAUCCCGAUAAUCUCAAAACAUAUGAGAACUCAACUGUUGGAAACUUGCCGAUAUUUCCUCUCCUAGUACCUCGGGCUAGCAAAGAUGACAUCGCUUCUCAGACCGUCGAGAGUGCAGAGUCUCAUGAAUCUGAGCUGAUCUUUGAAUACUUUGAGUUAGAGCCACCACAGCAGAGGCAGCCGUUGUAUGAGAAGAUUCAGGAGCUCGUUAGAGGUGAUGGGCCUUCGCGGGACAAAGCUUAUGGUACUCGGUGGCAUGGUAUCCAAUUUAUAGAAUACCUGAUGGAGACUUCCGUGCAGCAUUUUUGACUUACCAUUCUCUUGGCCAUUUUGUUCGUAGAGAUGGUUUAGACAAUUGUGUCGCGUCUCCAGUGGUUGGGCUUCAGAGUUACAAUGCUCAGUUAAGGCCUCCCCUGAUGAGCCAAAAGUCACAAAUCCCGAGUUUAGACCCAUCGAAGAUCCUAACAGAGCGACUCAGGACCCUGGAGGAGGCGGCUUCCUUGAUGUCUAGAACUGCAGUGAGCAAAGGGAAUGGCCUGAUCUCUGUAAAUAAUCACCCCGAUUUUGAGUUCUUCCUCUCCAGGCAAGAUCCCGAGUCCCUAGACUUGCACCCCCAACUCCCAGAAGAAAGCAGUCGUUUAUAAUUCAUAAACAAGGAUUUGAUAGUCAGUUUCCUAACCUCAGGCAGGAUUAGGAAUGGAUGUAAAUAACACCAAAAUCACAGUAAGCCACCUCUUAGUUUUUCCUUUCCGGGUUUUCCUUGUUUCUCUCUGGACACAAACAAGAUUAUAUAGACUAUAGAGGUUUGUAUGCUUUUCUUCAGAAUAUUUUGUGCAUGCUUAGAUUCGAACUCGCGCUUUGUGCAAUAUUUGCUAAAUAAAAUGGUUACCGAAUCUUCAGUUUUCUUUUCA